Molecule: long non-coding RNA, 783 nt
Organism: Corapipo altera (White-ruffed manakin)
Lineage: Eukaryota; Metazoa; Chordata; Aves; Passeriformes; Pipridae
Exons: 4
Source: RefSeq, a predicted model, not a curated record
UGUGACCCGUAAAAAGAACAAUUUCCAGCGGGGUCCUGAACAAAAACAAUCUUUCAGGCAGAUCAAGCAAGAGAUUGCACAUGCCGUGGCUCUUGGACCAGUCAGGACGGGACCAGAUGUAAAGAAUGUCCUCUACUCUGCAGCUGGAGAUAAAGGUCCCUCCUGGAGCCUCUGGCAAAAGGUGCCUGGUGAGACGUGAGGGCGACCACUGGGUUUGUGGAGCCGAAGCUACAGAGGUGCUGAGGCCAAUUCCACCCCUGUGGAGAAGGAAAUCUUAGCAGCCUAUGAAGGCAUACGAGCAGCUUCAGAGCUUUCAUAUUCAGCAAUGUCCUCACUCCUGACAGACCAGGAUCCCCUUUCCAGAGUAAUGGAGGAGCAUUGGGAUUUUUAAUCCAAAAUUCCCGGAUUUGAAUGAAAGGCUCUGGAAAGGCUCUGGAAAUCAUUUGGUGUUCACAAUCAUCAGUGAAGAUGUUCACCAGGAAUUGCUAAUCACUGGCCUCCAGCUGGAUGUUGCACUCCUGAUCACCACCCUGGCCAGAAGAUUUCCACCAGCCUGCUGUCUGCUCAUCCAGCCCAUACUUCAUAGGCCUCUCUGUGAGGGAGCCCUGUCCGUGUCCACAGGUACACACAUUUAUUUUGAUUUUAAAAAAUCAAACAGAAGUGAGUGUUUUACCACCAGAAUUAUUUUUCAAAGGGAAAUAGAAGUAUAUGGCUUUGAUGGAACGAGUGCCUUCAAACUCCAUUGGCAGGCACUGUUUGAAAACUAUUUGGGUGAUGUUUUAU